RNAcentral lists this ribosomal RNA (24 nucleotides) under Aureobasidium pullulans. Its description in RNAcentral is "partial 28S ribosomal RNA". The record is from RNAcentral. Lineage: Eukaryota; Fungi; Ascomycota; Dothideomycetes; Dothideales; Saccotheciaceae.
AGCAUAUCAAUAGAGCCGAGGAAA